GGGGCUGACCGGUUUUGACAGCAAGGAAGUGGUAUUGUAAGCAUGUCGGGCGUUGUGUGUUUGCCCGUAAAUCUCAAUGCGCACGCCACAAUAAAUGGCAACAGUUAUAAUUUCUCGUUGGCUGCUUAGUCAAGACGAUUAGGCCGCUUUCUGCUUCCCGCGAAACCUUUCCGGACGGUGUUGCGGCCGAAGCAUCGAAAAUGUUCGGAUAGAAAAGGUUAUGCUCCGUGUCCUUUUCGAAAUAACAGGAGCUAAGGAUGAAGCAGGCCGGCCUUUCGCCAUCUUUCAUCCCGACAAGAUAAGAGGGGCUAAGCAUGUAGAAAGCAGUAUUGCUGCUUGUUUGGACCAGGGUUCGACUCCCUGCAGCUCCACAA
This 374-nucleotide transfer-messenger RNA is filed under the name Bacteroidales bacterium. It matches the Rfam family "transfer-messenger RNA". Rfam says of the family: Bacterial tmRNA, also known as 10Sa RNA or SsrA, is named for its dual tRNA and mRNA-like properties. The record is from RNAcentral. Lineage: Bacteria; Pseudomonadati; Bacteroidota; Bacteroidia; Bacteroidales.